AAUGAAUAGAAACAGCGUUCUGCGGUUCAGGAUAUGUGCAACUGAGCACUAUUUAAUUUGAUGAUAAAAACAUUAACAAAAUUUCGAUGUCUAUGUGUGUAUUACAUUACAUUUUUGUCCUCAGAACAUCAAGUUUUAAAAAAAACUAUGGAGGGGACAAAAAUGGAGGGAAGGAGGGAAUAUAGCAUCGAGAUACAGCACUGCUUCGUCUCUUGCGGUCACAAUCCUCUUCUACGGUUAAAAAAGCAGGCUGCUUGCAAAGCUAUCGCACGGGUGCUAUGGGGAAAAUAGUUUACAACACAGACUGAUUUUUUUCAUCGCUGUACAAGAGAUCACUGCUCAUUUACUUUUAAUAAAUGGACGUUUAAGUUUGACUUGGUGGCGCCAUAGACUGUACAUACUGGACAAAACGAUUCCAUAGGCUCCAAUAACACGUUUUUUGUCUAUAACGGGAGGUGGCCACCACCCCCAUUUUGACCGUGUCACAGGUUCCGUCCAGCCCAGACAAUUCCAUAAAAGGGAAGAGAGGAGGAGCUGAGGGUGGGGCUGUAAGGCUGGGAUCGAGUGACGACACCCGGGCAAACUACCUACGAGCUAACCCUGGCUAGCCCAAAGCUAACGCAGAGGUGGGAGCCGAGCUAACGGAUGUAGCCACCUAGCUUCAACCCUACCGGAGCUAACUGUGGAACACCCAUCGACCUGAACCUUACACGGAGUUUAGGUGGAGGUUUUCUGCGCCUGUUCGUGAAAAGUACCUGGAUUAAAAAAAGUAUUAAAUCAGUAAGUUUAUAAUUUAUUUCCGUAAUGAAAACAUUUUGCUUUGAGCAAGUUUUCAGUACCGUAUUCUCUGGGCUAUCACUCCUGAGUCGCACCAGCCAUUAAAUGUAUAAUGAAGAGAAAAUAUAUUUAAGUCGUAUUUUGGGGGGACAUUUUAUUAUUUUUCUUACAAAAUCUGAGACCAAGCGUUUCACAUUGCAAGACAAGCACCGGUAACCAUAACAGAAAGAACAACAGCACGCCAUGGUCUCCAGCCAGCAGAGGAGAGGAUGGCGGUGUUUCAAACCCUCCCAGCCGGCGAGGAGAGCUCAUUCCUGGGCUGGAGCCAGCCCUCAGCACCCCGCCACAGGCUCCAACAGAUGCUGGCGGUGUUUGAAACCCUCCCAGCGGGACAGGGGAAGUCAUUCUUGGGUAAGGUUAGGUAGGGAAUUAUCAUGAGAACCAGAACAAGAGAGCCUGAUAACAGUCAUGUGAAAAUAACAGUUAAAAAGUCUGUAUGUGUAAUAGAAAUAAAAAUAUAUUAGAAUUAGUGUAACUCACUGUGAUCUAAACAAUAAAUCAGCCAUAGCUGAUUAGUAAAUAUGACAUGAGAUCUGGGAGUUUUUAAGUUUCAUUCUUUUAUUACAUUUUUUUCUUAGAUCUGUUAAAAGGUCACCAUGGCAGCCUGUGUGUCUCCAACAUCAGCUACACAAAGCAGCAAGUCCAUUUGGAUCAUUGGAGACAGCUACGUGAGGCGUGGUGCCCAGAGAGCUGCAGAGACCCUCGGAGACAACCUUUUAAUAUUUUACGUUUUUUUUUAUGUGUCGACACUUUGUGCCCUGUUGUUUUAUAAAAUGUAGUGUAAAAAAUAAAUGUUUUUGCUCAA
Molecule: non-coding RNA, 1642 nt
Organism: Nothobranchius furzeri (turquoise killifish)
Lineage: Eukaryota; Metazoa; Chordata; Actinopteri; Cyprinodontiformes; Nothobranchiidae
Source: RefSeq, a predicted model, not a curated record